GUAGGGAAUAUUGGGCAAUGGUCGGAAGACUGACCCAGCCAUGCCGCGUGCAGGAAGACGGCCCUCUGGGUUGUAAACUGCUUUUAUCUGGGAAGAAAAAGGCCAUGCGUGGCAAAUUGCCGGUACCAGAUGAAUAAGCACCGACUAACUCCGUGCCAGCAGCCGCGGUAAUACGGAGGGUGCGAGCGUUGUCCGGAUUUAUUGGGUUUAAAGGGUGCGUAGGCGGCUGAUUAAGUCAGCGGUGAAAGACUUCGGCUUAACCGGAGCAGUGCCGUUGAUACUGGUUGGCUUGAGUGUCGGAGGGGUACAUGGAAUUGAUGGUGUAGCGGUGAAAUGCAUAGAUACCAUCAGGAACACCGAUAGCGAAGGCAUUGUACUGGCCGACAACUGACGCUGAUGCACGAAAGUGUGGGGAUCGAACAGGAUUAGAAACCCUUGUAGUCC
This 444-nucleotide ribosomal RNA is filed under the name uncultured bacterium. RNAcentral's name for it is "partial 16S ribosomal RNA". It matches the Rfam family "Bacterial small subunit ribosomal RNA", at positions 354 to 796 of the family's 1533-position model. The record is from RNAcentral.